GACGAACGCUGGCGGCGUGCUUAACACAUGCCAGUCGAACGGAAAGGCCCUGCUUUUUUGGGGUGCUCGGGUGACGAACGGGUGAGUAACACGUACGUAACCUGCCCUUGACUUUGGGAUAACUUAAGGAAACUUGAUCUCAUACCGGAUAGGAGCUCCUACUGCAUGGUGGUGGUUGGAACGUUUCGGCGGUUGGGGCUGGACUCGCGGCUGAUCAGCUUGUUGGUGGAGUAGUGGCUUACCAAGGCUUAGACGGGUAGCCGGCACUGGAGGUGGGCCGGCCACAUGGGGACUGCGGUAGGGCCCAGACGGGUACGGGAGGCAGUAGUCGGGAGUAUUGCACAAUGGGGGGGAGCGUGAUGUAGCGACGCCGCGUGCGGGAUGACGGCCUUUGGGUUGUAAACCGCUUUCUCCUGAGAAGGAGCGGUAGUGACGGUAACGUAUAAAGAAGCACCGGCUAACUACGUG
Molecule: ribosomal RNA, 468 nt
Filed under: uncultured bacterium
Lineage: Bacteria
Description: partial 16S ribosomal RNA
Rfam family: Bacterial small subunit ribosomal RNA
Source: RNAcentral